CUACGUGCCAGCAGCCGCGGUAAUACGUAGGGUGCGAGCGUUAWUCGGAAUUACUGGGCGUAAAGCGGGCGCAGACGGUUACUUAAGCAGGAUGUGAAAUCCCCGGGCUCAACCUGGGAACUGCGUUCUGAACUGGGUGACUAGAGUGUGUCAGAGGGAGGUAGAAUUCCACGUGUAGCAGUGAAAUGCGUAGAGAUGUGGAGGAAUACCGAUGGCGAAGGCAGCCUCCUGGGAUAACACUGACGUUCAUGCCCGAAAGCGUGGGUAGCAAACAGGAUUAGAUACCCUGGUAGUCCACGCCCUAAACGAUGUCGAUUAGCUGUUGGGCAGCAUGACUGCUUAGUAGCGAAGCUAACGCGUGAAAUCGACCGCCUGGGGAGUACGGUCGCAAGAUUAAAACUCAAAGGAAUUGACGGGGACCCGCACAAGCGGUGGAUGAUGUGGAUUAAUUCGAUGCAACGCGAAGAACCUUACCUGGUCUUGACAU
Molecule: ribosomal RNA, 487 nt
Filed under: uncultured bacterium
Lineage: Bacteria
Description: bacterial SSU rRNA
Rfam family: Bacterial small subunit ribosomal RNA
Source: RNAcentral